GUGCACCAGGCGAGAAACUUCACACUGUGCGAAAGCACGAUGAGGGAAUCCCAAGUGCUUGCACGUAAGUGUAAGCUGUUUCUCUGUUUAAAACGCAGAGAGAGUAAGGGCUGGGUAAGACGGGUGCCAGCCGCCGCGGUAAUACCUGCAGCUCAAGUGGUGACCGUUAUUAUUGGGCCUAAAACGUCCGUAGCCGGUUUAAUAAAUGCCUGGGUAAAUCGUGUAGCUUAACUAUACGAAUUCCGGGUAGACUGUUAAACUCGAGACCGGGAGAAGUUAGAGGUACUCCUGGGGUAGAGGUGAAAUUCUGUAAUCCUAGGGGGACCACCAGUGGCGAAGGCGUCUAACUAGAACGGGUCUGACGGUGAGGGACGAAGCCCUGGGGCGCAAACGGGAUUAGAUA
This 403-nucleotide ribosomal RNA is filed under the name uncultured microorganism. Its description in RNAcentral is "bacterial SSU rRNA". It matches the Rfam family "Archaeal small subunit ribosomal RNA", at positions 330 to 735 of the family's 1478-position model. The record is from RNAcentral.